UGCUGCUGAUGCUGCCGCUGCUAAUUCUAAUACAGGCGAAUCGUUGGCUGCGGGGCGUGGGGAUGUAGAUGCGGAGAGUGAGACGGAUGAGGAUGAGGACGGCGGUGGGUAUUAUGAUCCUAGGAAGCCGACUGGGUGUUUUGAGGGAUGUGCUGGGGUGGGGAUUAUCCCGGUUGCAUGAAACAUGAAUUAUGAAUUUGGGAUGGCGACUUUUGCUUUUAUUUGAUUGUAUAUAUUUUUCCAUGCGUUUUUCUGGAAUGCCGGAGUGCUUGGUGUUAUGGAAUGGAAUGGAACAUAUAAUGACAGCGUUUAGAUAUAUAUAUACUCCUAACCCAAAGAACGAACUAGAACUAUACCAAACUCCC
Molecule: small RNA, 365 nt
Filed under: Histoplasma capsulatum var. duboisii H88
Lineage: Eukaryota; Fungi; Ascomycota; Eurotiomycetes; Onygenales; Ajellomycetaceae
Description: Histoplasma capsulatum H88 hypothetical RNA
Source: RNAcentral